GCCCCCGUAGUCCAACGGGCAGAGACAGGAAACUUAAAAUUUCCACAGUGUGGGUUCGAAUCCCACCGGGGGCA
RNAcentral lists this transfer RNA (74 nucleotides) under Actinomycetota bacterium. Its description in RNAcentral is "tRNA-Leu". It matches the Rfam family "tRNA". Rfam says of the family: Transfer RNA (tRNA) molecules are approximately 80 nucleotides in length. Their secondary structure includes four short double-helical elements and three loops (D, anti-codon, and T loops). Lineage: Bacteria; Bacillati; Actinomycetota. The record is from RNAcentral.